AUGACAAACACAUUGGGACCGCGGGGGCCACCGGGCCGCAUUCCUGCCCCGCCGGGGCUCCGAGGGCAGCGCCGGUGCCCGCCCGGAGGGCGCAGGGGGGGACGCGCAGCGAGGAUGGGAAGCAGGGCAGGGUGGCACCCGGCGGCUCCCCCUCUUCUCGCAUCCCCACCUUCUGCCCUCGCUUCUUUCACCCCGCCGCUCUCCGCUCCCUUCCCCCACCCUUUGUUUUUCGCCACCUUCCCUUUUUCAGGUCCCCUUCCCCACCUUAUCACCCCCCCCGGGAGCCCAGGCGGGACACGCACGACCCCCGCUUUGCGCGGGCGACCCCAUCUCCAUCCCUGCGCGCCCCCCCCCUCCCCGCUCUUUUGCUUUAUUUCCACGUCUCAGCGGAAAGAGAAGAUGCUUGAACUCGGGCAGGACUGGUACCUGGAGCCUCUCCAGCUUACAGCCCCCUUCUCGCACCGGGAGCGCCGCCCGCCCCGCCGGACGGCUGGAGCCCGCCGCCUCGCCCCCCCGGAGGUGGGGGCUGAAGUCUUCGCGGCCACCGUUUGGAUUUGGUCAAGAGCGGAGGCUGCAAACUCGCCAGCCUCUGCCAGGCUGGAGUCCCCUGGAAAAGUCCUAGGAGCAAGUAGGAAAUGGCUUUUUGGCUGGCUGCGGCAUUGCUCAACAUUUUUGGACGGGGACCCAGCGGCCCAGGAGCCGUUCCAGAGAACAGGACUUGGACAGCUUUUUUCUGUGCGAGCAGCGGCGGAUCCAGCGAGGCAGCAGCAGCCGCCCCCGGGGGCUUGCCCACGUCCCGACGGGCUGCGGGGGCCGCUGCCCCGGCCCCCUCCCUCGCCGGGGGCACGCACCCAGCGCCCCUCGACGGCAGUUCGGCAUCUCGCAAACGCUCCGGCUUCCCGGCGAGCCUCCGGGACCCGAAACCACACGCCCAGGGUAUUUGGGACAGACGGAGCCGUCCCCGGGGCUGCGGGCACGUCGCUGUCACAGCCCCGGAUGGGGCACAGCUCCUGUCCCCCCGCGGGUGGCCGCCCCCUCGGGGGGCACAGAGCGCUCCGUGCCUCGCCCGGCGGAGCGGGCAGGAGAAGAAGCCCGGAGCUCACGUCGGGGAGCAGCCCUGGAGAGAAACACGGCUCUGCUUUGCCCCAUCCCCUCCCAUCCCGCUUUUUUUUUUUUUUUUUUUUUUUUUCUAGUUACCUCGCGUUUAAAAAAAAAAAUGCUCCAGCUUGGCAAAGGCUUUUCUAUUGUUUCCUAGACAAACAGCGGAGUGGCUGGGAGCUGCCGUCUCUGCUAGGUUUGCUCGGUGUCCCGGGCAGCCUCUGA
RNAcentral lists this long non-coding RNA (1323 nucleotides) under Anas platyrhynchos platyrhynchos (common mallard). RNAcentral's name for it is "lncRNA (ENSAPLG00000018789.1)". The record is from RNAcentral. Lineage: Eukaryota; Metazoa; Chordata; Aves; Anseriformes; Anatidae.